GGAUGAACGCUGGCGGCGUGCCUAAUACAUGCAAGUCGAGCGAACGGACGAGAAGCUUGCUUCUCUGAUGUUAGCGGCGGACGGGUGAGUAACACGUGGAUAACCUACCUAUAAGACUGGGAUAACUUCGGGAAACCGUAGCUAAUACCGGAUAAUAUUUUGAACCGCAUGGUUCAAAAGUGAAAGACGGUCUUGCUGUCACUUAUAGAUGGAUCCGCGCUGCAUUAGCUAAUUGGCAAGGUAACGGCUUACCAAGGCAACGAUGCAUAGCCGACCUGAGAGGGUGAUCGGCCACACUGGAACUGAGACACGGUCCAGACUCCUACGGGAGGCAGCAGUAGGGAAUCUUCCGCAAUGGGCGAAAGCCUGACGGAGCAACGCCGCGUGAGUGAUGAAGGUCUUCGGAUCGUAAAACUCUGUUAUUAGGGAAGAACAUAUGUGUAAGUAACUGUGCACAUCUUGACGGUACCUAAUCAGAAAGCCACGGCUAACUACGUG
This 498-nucleotide ribosomal RNA is filed under the name uncultured bacterium. RNAcentral's name for it is "partial 16S ribosomal RNA". It matches the Rfam family "Bacterial small subunit ribosomal RNA", at positions 27 to 507 of the family's 1533-position model. The record is from RNAcentral.